Molecule: ribosomal RNA, 497 nt
Filed under: uncultured bacterium
Lineage: Bacteria
Description: partial 16S ribosomal RNA
Rfam family: Bacterial small subunit ribosomal RNA
Source: RNAcentral
GAUGAACGCUGGCGGCGUGCCUAAUACAUGCAAGUCGAGCGAACAGAUAAGGAGCUUGCUCCUUUGACGUUAGCGGCGGACGGGUGAGUAACACGUGGGUAACCUACCUAUAAGACUGGAAUAACUCCGGGAAACCGGGGCUAAUGCCGGAUAACAUGUUGAACCGCAUGGUUCUACAGUGAAAGGCGGCUUUGCUGUCACUUAUAGAUGGACCCGCGCCGUAUUAGCUAGUUGGUGAGGUAACGGCUCACCAAGGCAACGAUACGUAGCCGACCUGAGAGGGUGAUCGGCCACACUGGAACUGAGACACGGUCCAGACUCCUACGGGAGGCAGCAGCAGGGAAUCUUCCGCAAUGGGCGAAAGCCUGACGGAGCAACGCCGCGUGAGUGAUGAAGGUCUUCGGAUCGUAAAACUCUGUUAUUAGGGAAGAACAAAUGCGUAAGUAACUGUGCGCGUCUUGACGGUACCUAAUCAGAAAGCCACGGCUAACUACGUG